GAUGAAGAACGUAGCGAAAUGCGAUACGUAAUGUGAAUUGCAGAAUUCAGUGAAUCAUCGAAUCUUUGAACGCAUAUUGCGCUCUCUGGUAUUCCGGAGAGCAUGCUUGUUUGAGUAUCAGUAAACACCUCAACUCCCUUUUCUUUUUUGAAAUUGGAGCUGGACUUGAGUGAUCCCAACGCUUUCUUCCAAGAAAGUGCCGGGUUGCUUGAAAUGCAGGUGCAGCUGAACUUUUCUCUGAGCUAUAAGCAUAUCUAUUUAGUCUGCCUAAAAAACAGAUUAUUACCUUUGCUGCAGCUAACAUAAAGGAGACUAGUUCUUGUGCUGACUGAUGCAGGAUUCACAGAGACAGCUUCGGCUGACUUUGUAAACUCGAUCUCAAAUCAAGUAAGACUACCCGCUGAACUUAAGCAUAUCAAUAAGCGGAGGA
Molecule: unclassified non-coding RNA, 430 nt
Filed under: soil metagenome
Description: partial contains 5.8S ribosomal RNA, internal transcribed spacer 2, and large subunit ribosomal RNA
Rfam family: 5.8S ribosomal RNA (bases 1-120)
Source: RNAcentral